GAGGGCAGAUACUGCUGGCUGCAGGGACCCAUCCUCCCUUUCUUCCUCAGAACUCUGGUUCUUAUUGAGAAUUGGUGCCUGGAAAAAACCUAUACUGCGCACCUCCCUAAGCUAGGAGAGGGCCAGACAAGGAGUUUCCAGCCAUGGAGAUGCGGGCAGAAGUGUCACACAGAAAGCCUUAGGAGGGCUCAUUACAACAGUGGGAGCAGUCUUCUUCCUGCCCUCCUGCCGCCUGAAUAUAGAUCAUGACUGCAGCCCCAGGAAGCCUCUUGGAUCAUAAGGCACUGGAUAAUUUCUUUAAAGCUGCCCAUCCACGGAUUUCAGUUGGUACAACGCUCCUGGAAGCCAUCUGGUCUUAUAUAACAAGAACCUUGAAAAUCACACCCUUCAGUACAGUUAUCCCAUGAAGUCAGAGAAAGACUCAAAAGCGUGUUUAACAAGGAUCCCCAUCACAGUGUUACGGUUCUGGGGUACAUGUGCAGAACAUGCAAGGCUGUUGCAUAGCCUCACAUAUGGCUGACUAAACAACUAGAAACCAACUGGUGCUCUCAAAAAGAUGGGCGCUCAAGCUGAGAGCCGAGGGGGCAAGGAGGAAGUGGCCAAGGAAACGACUCUUCUCAGUUCCACCGAUGAGUGCUAUGCUUGUUAUCUGGAAGUCUGCCCACCAGAAAGCUGACAGUGCUUAGCCCAGCAUGAUCUAAAAGAGCUCAACGGAUCAACAUUAUCAGAAGGUAAUAUUUAAAUGACAACUUGCCUAUUAGACUCUCUGCACAUAUGCCCCUUCUCUAGACUGGGUAAGAGAAAUUCGAAGGAGGAGAUAAGAUUUGGUGGCAAAAAAGAUGUCAAAGUCUGAAGAGGUCUGUCCAGAUGAUCAGUCACAUAAUAAAACUAGGCUUCAGGAAAACGCAAUCAUCGGAAGAAGAAAGGAUAUUGGAAGCUUCAGGCGGCCAACCAGAGCAAAACAGCGCGGGUGCUGCGUACGGUAAAGCUGACUUGAAUUAUAAUUACGGCAACCAGGGACAAGUCACAAUCCACUCCAAACCCCAGUUUCCUUAGCUAUACAGUGAGGAUAAGGAUACUUAUCUCAUAGGAUUCAUAAGGAUUAAUAAGAGAUCAAUUCACAAGCAACAAUAGCACGGUGCUUAGGGUGUAAGAAGUGCUCAGGGAAUGGUGGCUUUUCUCACUGUCAUCACUAAUCCACUACAUUCACCAAUUAACCUGGCGCGUGCACUGAUGCCGCUGCUGUCUUUGUCCUUCGUCUUCUUACUUUAUUACAAUACCAGGUCACAGAUAUUUCACAACGAAUACUUUUUGGAUGCAGCCUACAGCUGCCUUCUGUACAAAUCCUCGCCUAAAUAUAUGCAAGGAGCUGAGAUUCGUCAAAAUCACAGAAAAGAAGUUAGAGAGAAGCAACCACCUACGGAGACUUUCAAAUGCAAUUGUGACUUGUGCCUUGGGAAUUCAAGGUACAUGUUUUUUGUCAUCCCUUCUUCUUGGUAUGUGUGGUCAGUGUUUUGAAACAGAUUUGGUAGAGAGAAGUGAUAAAACAAUAAAAACUCUUAAGAGAGUGUGAA
Molecule: long non-coding RNA, 1574 nt
Organism: Callithrix jacchus (white-tufted-ear marmoset)
Lineage: Eukaryota; Metazoa; Chordata; Mammalia; Primates; Cebidae
Source: RefSeq, a predicted model, not a curated record